Molecule: ribosomal RNA, 433 nt
Filed under: uncultured bacterium
Lineage: Bacteria
Description: partial 16S ribosomal RNA
Rfam family: Bacterial small subunit ribosomal RNA
Source: RNAcentral
AACGAACGCUGGCGGCAGGCCUAACACAUGCAAGUCGAGCGAGGACUUCGGUUCUAGCGGCGGACGGGUGAGUAACGCGUGGGAAUGUGCCCUUCUCUACGGAAUAGCCCUGGGAAACUGGGAGUAAUACCGUAUACGCCCUAUUGGGGAAAGAUUUAUCGGAGAAGGAUCAGCCCGCGUUGGAUUAGGUAGUUGGUGGGGUAAUGGCCUACCAAGCCGACGAUCCAUAGCUGGUUUGAGAGGAUGAUCAGCCACACUGGGACUGAGACACGGCCCAGACUCCUACGGGAGGCAGGAGUGGGGAAUCUUAGACAAUGGGGGCAACCCUGAUAUAGCCAUGCCGCGUGAGUGAUGAAGGCCUUAGGGUUGUAAAGCUCUUUCAGCUGGGAAGAUAAUGACGGUACCAGCAGAAGAAGCACCGGCUAACUCCGUG